CUUAAAUCUAAGAACUUUCAAUAAUCGAUAGCGAACAAGUACCGUAAGGGAAAGGUGAAAUAGAACUUCUUUAGGAUGAAAAGAAUCUAAAAUUUAAUGCAUAUGAUCUGUUGAAGCUUUUAUCAAAAGUGACAGCGUACCUUUUGCAUAAUGGGCCAAUAAGUUUAUAUAUAUAGUGAGUUUAAGUUUAAAAACAAGACGAAGCGAAAGCAAAUUUUAAAAAAUGAUAGAAUUAUAUAUAUAAGACCCGAAGCUGAGUGAUCUAACCAUGAACAGGCUGAAAAAUGGGCAGAAAUGCUAUUUGGAGGGCCGAACUCGUGUCUGUAGAAAAAGAUUGGGAUGAUUUGUGGUUAGGAGUGAAAGGCUAAUCAAACUCAGGGAUAGCCGGUUUUCUGCGAAAUAUAUCUAAGUAUAGCCUACAAAAUAUUAUUAAUGGGGUAGAGCACUUUUGGAAUAAGGGGGGUUUUAAUCUUACUAAGUUCUGAAAAACUCCGAAUACGUUAAUUAAUUUUUGUGGAGUCAGACAAUAGGCGCGAAGGUCUAUUGUCAAGAGGGAAACAGCCCAGACUAUUUGAUAAGGUCUUGAAUUAUUAGUUAAGUGAUAAGAAUGUAAAAAAAUGAUGACAAUUAUAAAGUAGGCUUGGAAGCAGCCAUCUUUUUGAGAAAGCGUAACAGCUCAUUAAUCUAGUUUUUUUGCUUCGAAAAUGUCAGGGACUUAAACAUAUAACCGAAUCAUUAGAAAAUGGUAGCAGAACGUUCGAUAUAUCGAUGAAGAUAUUUUGUAAAAAAUAUUCCAGAUAUUCGAAGUGAGCAUAUUGGCAUUAGUAGCUGAAACAAUGUUUAAUCAUUGUCGCCGAAAAUCUAAGGUUUUUGAUACAACACUGAAUGUUAUCAAUAAAAAACGGACCCUAAGGCAAAUUACAAAAGUAUAAGCUAAUGGGAUGAAUAAUGUGACGGGGUAUAUAUUUUAUUAAUUCUAAAUCUGAAUAUGAAUUGGUAUUUGAAUAUCUCCAGGAAAUAGCAUUAUAACUAAAAACCGUACCCUAAACCGACACAGGUAGAUGCGUAGAAUAUACUAAGGCGUUCAAGAAAAUUAUGUUGAAGGAACUCGGCAAAUUAGCUCUGUAACUUAGGGAUAAGGAGUGACAUAACUGGGUAACCAGAAAAUGUUGACACUAAAGAGGAAGAAACGACUGUUUAACAAAAACACAAGUCUCUGCUAAUUCGAGAGAAGAUGUAUAGAGACUGACACCUGCCCGGUGCUGUAAGGUAAUGUGGAGGUGCUUAAGCACCGAAAUUAAGCCCCAGCAAACGGCGGCUGUAACUCUGACGGUCCAAAGGUAGCGAAAUUCCUUGUCGGGUAAGUUCCGACCUGCAUGAAUGGUGUAACGAUUUCUUCACUGUCUCCAACAUAAUCUUGGUGAAUUUGAAAUGUCCGUGAAGAUGCGGACUUCUUGUGGUUAGACGGAAAGACCCCGUGCACCUUUACUAUGAUUUUAAGUUGCAGAACUGUAUAACUUGUGUAGAAUAGAUGGGAGCGUAAGCAAAAAUGAAAUACCAUCCUUGAUAUACUGUUUUGCUCAAUUCUUUUUAGAAGACAGCUUAUGAAAGGUAGUUUGACUGGGGCGGUCACCUCCUAAAGAGUAACGGAGGUGUGCAAAGGCAAAUUCAAGUUUAAUACUGUAGAGUGUAAUGGCACAUAUUUGCUUAACUGUGAGAUUGACAAAUCGAACAGAGAUGAAAGUCGGCCAUAGUGAUCCGGUGGUUCAAAGUGGAAUGACCAUCGCUCAACGAAUAAAAGGUACGCCGGGGAUAACAGGCUGAUGGUUUCUGAGAGUCCUUAUCGACGAGACCGUUUGGCACCUCGAUGUCGGCUCAUCACAUCCUGAAGCUGAAGAAGGUUUCAAGGGUUCGGCUGUUCGCCGAUUAAAGUGGUACGUGAGCUGGGUUCAGAACGUCGUGAGACAGUUCGGUCCCUAUCUGCCACAAAUGUAGAAAAUUGAAAGGACUAAAUCCUAGUACGAGAGGACCGGAUUAAGUAAACCUCUGGUGUAUCGAUUGUUACUUCCGUAGCAUGGUCGAGUAGCUAAGUUUAUAAGAGAUAACUGCUGAAAACAUAUAAGUAGGAAACUUCCCUUAAAACAAAUUUUUAAAAAUCGUAGAAGAAUACUACGUUGAUAGGUCUUAAAUGUAAAAGCUGUAAGGCUUGAGUUU
This 2214-nucleotide ribosomal RNA is filed under the name wastewater metagenome. RNAcentral's name for it is "bacterial LSU rRNA". It matches the Rfam family "Bacterial large subunit ribosomal RNA", at positions 459 to 2893 of the family's 2925-position model. The record is from RNAcentral.